CCCCCAAAUCGCAAAAAACCUCUCCAAUCGCGAACCCUUCCUCUCCUAGGGUCUCCAAUCGCACACCUUCCUCUUCGUUCAGCCGCCGGCCGCCGGCCGCCACCCGCCACUUGCCAUUCCCUCAUCUACGUUCAACCGCCGUCACCCGCCAUUGCCUCCCUCUCGCGUUCAGCAGCCGGGCGCCAUUUCCGGCCUCGUCUCGGGUUGAGCAGCCGGCGCCCUCCAUUCCGCCUUGUCUCGCGUUCAGCCGUCGCCGCCCUCUCCUCCACCGAUUGUCGACGCUAAACACCACAUCCACCGCUGCCGAUUUGCACGUUAAGAAUUGAGGGCUUCUAGUUGGGAAAGAGUUCAAGGAGAGUCGUACCGGGUAGAUGAUCUGCAAGGGAUGUUUACUGAUCUGCAGUGUCUCUGAGGAAGGAGAGCCGUACUAUUGAGGAGCAGUUUAACCAGAUGCUUCGCGAAUGGAAAGCAAAGCUGAAUGAGCCCUCCCCGACUUCUUCUUAUAAGGUCAUUGCAGCAACAAAUCGAGCUGAUAUUUUAGAUCCUGCUUUGAUGAGGUCUGGUCGUCUGGAUUGUAAGAUCGAGUUUCCUCAUCCUACUGAAAAAGUCAGGGCUAGGAUCUUGUAGGUAGUGCCUUGAUCUAAUGUUUUCUCUUACUUUCCUCCCCUGCUCCAACCUUUUUCUCCUUCCAACACAAAAAGGAAAAGUUCUCUUCUGUCUUGUCCUGUUGUGUAUUGGAUACUAAAAUGCACAAAACUUCAGAUCCACUCCAGUGUCGAAUCCUUCUUCUAUGAGGAGCAUAAUUGAGUGUGUGAUUGUGUCCAUUAAAAUGAAGUUGUGGGGACCCUCAAUUUGGUGGUUGAACUGUGAAAUCUACCUCUAAGAACAUUAUGCUUUGAUUAGUCAAUUGUGAAAUGUUUGAGUGCUUUCCAGGAAUAGUUUUUUGGUGUUGUAUAUUCUUGUGUUUGGUUGUUUUUAAUUAUUGUUAAUCUUGGGGUGCAUUAUUGGUA
Molecule: long non-coding RNA, 1010 nt
Organism: Ipomoea triloba (trilobed morning glory)
Lineage: Eukaryota; Viridiplantae; Streptophyta; Magnoliopsida; Solanales; Convolvulaceae
Exons: 3
Source: RefSeq, a predicted model, not a curated record